AUUGAACGCUGGCGGCAGGCCUAACACAUGCAAGUCGAGCGGAUGAAGGGAGCUUGCUCCUGGAUUCAGCGGCGGACGGGUGAGUAAUGCCUAGGAAUCUGCCUGGUAGUGGGGGAUAACGUCCGGAAACGGGCGCUAAUACCGCAUCCGUCCUGAGGGAGACAGUGGGGGAUCUUCGGACCUCACGCUAUCAGAUGAGCCUAGGUCGGAUUAGCUAGUUGGUGGGGUAAAGGCCUACCAAGGCGACGAUCCGUAACUGGUCUGAGAGGAUGAUCAGUCACACUGGAACUGAGACACGGUCCAGACUCCUACGGGAGGCAGCAGUGGGGAAUAUUGGACAAUGGGCGAAAGCCUGAUCCAGCCAUGCCGCGUGUGUGAAGAAGGUCUUCGGAUUGUAAAGCACUUUAAGUUGGGAGGAAGGGCAGUAAGUUAAUACCUUGCUGUUUUGACGUUACCAACAGAAUAAGCACCGGCUAACUUCGUG
RNAcentral lists this ribosomal RNA (484 nucleotides) under uncultured bacterium. RNAcentral describes it as "partial 16S ribosomal RNA". It matches the Rfam family "Bacterial small subunit ribosomal RNA", at positions 30 to 507 of the family's 1533-position model. The record is from RNAcentral.